UGACCUACUGGAGAGAAAAGCAUGGCUAC
Molecule: non-coding RNA, 29 nt
Filed under: Mus musculus (house mouse)
Lineage: Eukaryota; Metazoa; Chordata; Mammalia; Rodentia; Muridae
Source: RNAcentral